RNA transcript from Brienomyrus brachyistius, 2842 nucleotides. It is a transcript of the gene named protein tyrosine phosphatase domain containing 1b, with no coding region annotated. The record is from RefSeq and is a predicted model, not a curated record. NCBI's taxonomy places the organism in Eukaryota, Metazoa, Chordata, Actinopteri, Osteoglossiformes, Mormyridae. The transcript is spliced from 9 exons.
GAGUGCCGGUGUGGAUGGAUCUGGUGGGUUCUUUCUUGCUAAGGUGAAAAAGCUGUCGGCAUAGUGGAGACAAACGGUUCUUUGUUCUGAUCGAUGUUGUUGGAUUGCUUUUCAGUGGAAGACUAAUGAGGUCCUCCAAUGGCAGCAGAGCUGGUCUGCUGAGUGACACGCCUUAAUCCCUCAGGAUAGCCUGCAGUGAAGAACCUAACAUCUGCAUGGCUUCAGUGAAGAUGAAGGUUCCCUGGGCAACGUAUACCAUGGUGGGGGAGACGCUGCGGCAGCUGAUUCCCAGUCACAUGCAGUGUUCCAUGGGCUGUGGUGGGCGUGCCUGCAAGUAUGAGAAUCCAUCCUGCUGGAGUGAAGACCAGCAGGCUAUCAAGGGCCUCUACUCCUCCUGGAUUACUGAGAAUAUCCUGGCUAUGGCAAGGCCUUCAACCGAAAUCAUAGAAAAAUACAACAUCAUUGAACAAUUUCAAAGCAGGUAUGGCCUGAGGACAAUCAUCAACUUGCAGAGCCCUGGGGAGCACGCCAGCUGCGGCCACCCCCUGGAGCGUUACAGUGGCUUUACGUAUCGCCCAGAGGCCUUCAUGGAGGUGGGAAUUUAUUUUUACAACUUUAGAUGGAGGGACUAUGGUGUGGCAUCUCUCACAACAAUCCUAGACAUGGUGAAGGUCAUGUCAUUCGCAUGUCAGGAGGGGAAGAUGGCCAUCCACUGUCAUGCUGGACUUGGAAGAACAGGUGUGCUGGUGGCUUGUUUCCUGGUGUUCACAACAAGGAUGAGUGCAGACCAAGCCAUUGUGAUCGUACGAGAAAGGAGGCCAAAUUCAAUUCAAACCAGGGAACAGCUGCUUUGUGUGAGGGAGUUUGCACAGUUCCUGGUCCCUUUGAGAACUAUCUUCUCGUGUGCCAGUCCCAAAGCCAAUGUUGUCACUCUCUCUCAGUUCCUAAUCCGUCAACAGCACCUGCUACAUGGCUAUGAGGCACGGCGAUUUAAGAACAUGCCAAGACUCAUACAUCUCAUAUGCAGGCUCCUUCUGGAUAUUUCUGAGACCCGGCAGGUCAUUGAGGAAGAGGUUCUGGAAAUUCCUGACUUAUCAGGGGAGAAAAUUAUGUCCCAAGAAACCAUUCGACCACCAGACAGUGAUAUGAUAGGAAAGGACAUCCUUCGUCUACCUGGCCCACAAGCCAUUGCCAAACGAACCUCCGAAUUUUACAUUCGAAGGAGCCUUAGCUACAGUGACCCAGACCUUUGCAGACUACAAUCCACUGACCAUUUUCAGAACAAUCAAACUGAGUCACUGUCAACUCAUUGUAGCAGGAAAAAAUCCUUCUAUGACACCACUGGCUCAGUCUGGGAGCAGCCUCACUUUCACAAGAGGCAGCUUCUUAAAAACAUGAAACGCAGCAAAUCUUUGGGCUCCCCAUACAAUCGUAGGAAAAUCAGCAACGCAACCAUUUUGUCAACUUGGCUAUUGCAGCAGAGCUCAAAGUUUGCCCAAGAGUCAUCAACAGGCAACGAACCAGCGUCUUGCACUGCUGCUUAUGAAGACAGGGACACGUCCGCAGAUGUCCCCUUUAUCACGAUACAGACAGAGCUCACCCUGGAGAACCGACGUUUACUAGUAGCCCAGGCACUUGGUGUGGACCUGGAAGAAGAAGGGGAGGAAGAGUAUGGACAGAAAAUCUCAAAUUGGCAGAAGGAACUGAACUCUAAAGACGGGGCUUGGGAACGCUUGUGCGUGGAGAAGGAUCCCUUUAUCCUCUCUGGUUUGUUGUGGUCUUGGCUGGAGCAGCUGAAGGAACCUCUAAUCUGCCAAAAGGAGGUGAAAACACUGGAGAAGAAUAAGCAAGAUGGCAACACUAUCCUUAAUUUAUUGGACAAGGUCAUAAAUUUGUCCAACCUAUACUGACCUUUAAGUCUUAUGGUUUGGCCGUUGUGCAUAGCUGUCUAGUUGAAGUGUGAGUGCGUGCGUGUGUAUUAUGUUUAUAUUACAUUGUGGGGGACCAAAUGUCCCCCACAAUGUGAUAAAAACCUUUUAUUUUAAUGUUGUGGGGACCAUUUUUCAGGUGCUCACAAAGAUCUGUAACUGCAAUCAAAAAGCUAAUACUUAGAAAAGUCUCAUAUUUAGUUUGGUUACACAAUGGUUAAGGUUAAGAGUUAAUGGUAAUGGUUAAGGUUAGAGUUGCGUAGGGGCUUAAGGUUGUCAUGUUGGGAUUAGAGUUUUCCCCAUAGAAAUGAAUGGAGAUUCUCCACAUAGAUAUUUCAAAAUUACAAACCUGAGUGUGUGUGUAUCUAUGUAUGUGCAUUUGUGUGUGUGCGUGUGUGUGUUUCAAUUCAUGUACUCAGAUCUGCAAUAUACUGUAUAUACCACCCUUGUGCAUUUAAUGGCCAAUUUAAAUAAGACAAUAAUUACUUUUUUACAUAAAUUUGUGUUUUUCUUAUCUCGGGGACUAUUGACUGUUUUGAUUAGGAUUAAGCAAAUAAUUUUGUCUGUGGCUUAAGGGCAAACAAGUCUGAAAGGACAAUGAUGGCUUUGGAAAAGAUCUAUUGUACAUAUGUGAGCUGUACAUAUGUGAGCUGUACAUAUGUGAGCUGUACAUAUGUCUCAAUCAGUGUUUGCCACCCCUGGCCUUGAGGACCCUCAGACAGUCCAUAUUUUUGCUCCUUCCCAGCGCCUGGCAAAAACCCUGGCAUGUCUGGGGGUCCCUGACCAAGUCGGGAAACACUGUGGGAUCCAAGAGGACACUAAUGUGCAUUAUUGACUGCUUUGCCCAUUUGUUCAUUGUACCAGAGAAAGUUGAAGAGGCGUUUCUAAACAGGACAAUAAAGGCUUUCACAAAG